GGCAGCGACACUGUGUGUUGUUGGGUAGGGGAGCGUUCUGUAAGCCUGUGAAGGUGGCCUGUGAGGGUUGCUGGAGGUAUCAGAAGUGCGAAUGCUGACAUAAGUAACGAUAAAGCGGGUGAAAAGCCCGCUCGCCGGAAGACCAAGGGUUCCUGUCCAACGUUAAUCGGGGCAGGGUGAGUCGACCCCUAAGGCGAGGCCGAAAGGCGUAGUCGAUGGGAAACGGGUUAAUAUUCCCGUACUUGGUGUUACUGCGAAGGGGGGACGGAGAAGGCUAUGUUGGCCGGGCGACGGUUGUCCCGGUUUAAGCGUGUAGGUGUGUGUUCCAGGUAAAUCCGGUU
This 341-nucleotide ribosomal RNA is filed under the name Salmonella enterica subsp. enterica. Its description in RNAcentral is "partial 23S ribosomal RNA". It matches the Rfam family "Bacterial large subunit ribosomal RNA", at positions 1204 to 1547 of the family's 2925-position model. The record is from RNAcentral. Lineage: Bacteria; Pseudomonadati; Pseudomonadota; Gammaproteobacteria; Enterobacterales; Enterobacteriaceae.